CACAGGGAAGAGGCACGUGUGGGGACUCCCAAUGGACAGCAGCACGGGAGACAUCAAGAAGGGCAUCCAAAUUGGAUGAAGAGGGCAUGGAGGUUGCUGUGUGUCGCCAUGGUUUCCUUCUUAAAGGCCUUAACAUGUACAGGGGAGAAAUAUUUGCCUACCCCAUGUACCUUCAAAAGGAGCUGAUGCCAGCCAAGGCACAAUUCUUUGCCAUGGAUGUGGCUUGCAAAUACUGGCCAUACCUGGAGAAAGUUGCCAGUGUCCUUCCUGCUCUCCAGGAGCUGACCACCAUGAAACCUUUCCUCAGCGUCAUGCAUGCUCGAGCUCAUGCUACCAAGUGUGAGGCAUGUUUAUUAUUUUUUAUUAUGAUUAAAUGGAGUGGUAGGAACCAGGAAGGAGCAGGGACAACCGCCGGUGAAGAGGUGGAACAAGUUAACAGCUACCUCUCUCGUUGUGCCCUUACGACAAAAUAUAUGUCGAAAGCAGACUUGUCAGAGGCUCCUGGAUGAGACUGCAAUGCUAGCAGAGCUAAAAACCCAGCUACAUCUCUCAGAUGAAAUGGUGUCACAGUGGAUCUCAGAUGUGAUGGAAUGGGCAACUGGUGAGACACGAGAUGCAUUUGACAACCUGCAAGGCACCACACACACAGGGCUUCAGCGGUCCAUUGAGGGGCUCUACCUCAGUGUGAGGCAGCGGAAGCUAAAUCUGUACCGUCAGAAUGACAGCAACAAGCUUCGCCACCGGCUUCGGAGGAAGCUGGCAGAAGAGAAAAAGCUCCUUUUUCAGGAGAUACAAAAGCACAACAAGCUUGACUCUGCAGCCAACAUCGAUGCAGCUGUGGUGGAGCACUCCCUGAGUGGAGAGAGCACUGUGUCCCCAAUAUGGCCUUGGGAGGUUCAUGACAGCGCAAACAUUGGAACCAAGAAACGGCUUCAUGACCAAGUCAUGACAACAAAGCGACUGCAGGAGGAAAAAAACAUUCUGGUGAUGGAGAUGGCACAACACUGCACAUGGUUGCAGAACCUGGCAUUGGUUCUCAAAAACAAGGUGGCUGAGUCGGGUGGAGAGUCUGGAGACAAAGGAGCUGAAGGACUUUGCAGUCUCUUGAGGAGAAGAAACACAGAGGUGUCAGAGGGGUUGCAAGUGGUCCUGCAAAAAUACAAGACUGCUUUAGGUCCUGAGGCCUCUGUCAUUCAAAAUAUUGAAGAGGAAGACCAAAGUGUCCACAGCAGUCCAGACACCAGUGAGGAUGAAGAGGAAAGCAUAAUUUAGAUUGAAGCUGCACUGAGGAUGGACUAAGGAAAUGGACUUGCCUAGAAAGCACUAAUGUGAUAAAACAUGCAUUCGGGCGUCUUAUAUUAUUUCACACGCAUAGAUAUUAACUUGGCACUAUGGGGGAGGGAACCAAGGAAGGCAGGCUUUCCUAUGAUUGGCCGUUCUGAAGCGCGAUAUUUGAUUGACAGCCCUCCUCAGCCCGAAUUCAGCCAAGGGUUUCUUACUUGAAGGGACCUUCGCCCAGACGUGAUUGUCUUCUGAGUUUCAGCCAUUGACUACAAUACAGAAUGAAUGAGAGGAGGGCUGAGGAAGGCUCUCAAUCAAAUAUCGUGCUUCAGAAACAGCCAAUCACAGGAAAGCACGCCCUGCCUUGAUUCCCUCCCACAUAGUGCCAAAAUUAAAUUUGAGCGAGAGAGCAUAACAUCAUUCGCGAGAGGCUGUUUUGUAUGACCAAAGUUAUUCCCCCCUCUCGCUUGCAACGAGGUAAUGCUCUCGAGGAUCUUUUUUCCUGGCUCGGGGAGCUGCGCUCUGAGUGCGGACGUGCGCACAGAUAAUUUGGGCGCUCGCAGUUAACCUCUACGUGUAUGAAAUAAUAUAAUACGCCCGAAUGCAUGUUUUAUCCCAUUAGUGCUUUAUGGCACUAAUGUGUCGCCAUACUCAACCGCUUAUCCUGGCAACUUCACACCUGACACUGCACCCUUGGGUCUUCUGCAAUACACCCACCAAGUGUAAAAUAAAUCAGAUGAACACUACUAACUGCUUCCUGUCAACUGACAGCAGUCAGCUGACCGUCAUUACAUCGCUGUAGCACGUGAACAUUCAUUGGUGCCAUACUUGACAGCUCUCCACACAGUUACAUAGCAUUGUGGUGAAUGUUCAGACCACUGUUUCAUCUCUCCCCUUCCAGCGUCACAGAUUAUCAAUCUUGGUGAUGGAGGCACUAGCAUUUUGGUGUGUUAUUUAGUUAAUGUGUGUAAAAGAUGACUUCCUCAAAUGUCUUGUUUUGUUCGGAAUUCAAAGAUAUUCAGUUGACAGAAUAUAUAGAAGUAUAAAGAAACCAGAAAAUAUUACAUUUGAGAAUCUGGAAUCUGAUCAUUUUGAAUUUUUUUAUUUUUCAAAAAAUGAAAAAGUGAUUAAUCGUUCAUCCAAACAGUUGGUUAUUAAUUAAAAUCAAAUAGUUGCAUGUCAUGUAAAAUGUAAAUCAAGGAGAACGACCAUUUUGAUUGAUAGGGUGGCGUGACUAAGUAUGUAUACAUAUAAUAUGUAUGUAAUAUGCAUUAGACUGUAUGUAACAAAGAGACAGUUGUAUAGUUAAUAUAGGUACGUACAGUAUAACUGGAUUACAUGUUCUGUUGUCAGUGCUUAUGUAAAGCUAACCCUACAGUCCAUUUUUAAGAAAUACAGCCCAAAUUGUUUGUGUGUUGGACAGAUCCAUUUGGUGCAUUUUCUCCAGUAUUGUUGCAAAAGAUGAAUACAUUAUUGCCAAAAAUGACCAUUUUUUGUUUUACUUUUCCAUCAUGUUUAGAAACAUCAUGUGACAGUUUUGUGUUUUAUAAAAAAAGAUAGCCUAUCAAGAGAAAAUAUGGGAAACAAACAUAAAUAAUGCAUAAUUAA
This is an RNA transcript of Gadus morhua (Atlantic cod), 2889 nucleotides long. RefSeq lists it as uncharacterized. The transcript is spliced from 8 exons. The record is from RefSeq and is a predicted model, not a curated record. Lineage: Eukaryota; Metazoa; Chordata; Actinopteri; Gadiformes; Gadidae.